GACGAACGCUGGCGGCGUGCCUAAUACAUGCAAGUCGAACGCAGUGGGGACGGGUGAGUAACACCUGGGUAACCUCCCAUCAGAGGGGAUAACACUUGGAAACAGGUGCUAAACCGAUAUUGAUGUAUGGACCCUCGGUGCAUUAGCUAGUGGGUGAGGUAACGGCUCACCAAGGCCACGAUGCAUAGCGGAGCUGGGAGGGUGAUCGGCAACACGGGGACUGAGACAGGGCCCAGAGUCCUACGGGAGGCAGCAGUAGGGAAUCUUCGGCAAUGGACGAAAGUCUGACCGAGCAACGCCGCGUGAGUGAAGAAGGUUUUCGGAGCGUAAAACUCUGUUGUUAGAGAAGCGGUAUCUAACCAGAAAGCCACGGCUAACUACGUGCCAGCAGCCGCGGUAAUUC
Molecule: ribosomal RNA, 403 nt
Filed under: uncultured bacterium
Lineage: Bacteria
Description: partial 16S ribosomal RNA
Rfam family: Bacterial small subunit ribosomal RNA
Source: RNAcentral